Molecule: ribosomal RNA, 589 nt
Filed under: uncultured bacterium
Lineage: Bacteria
Description: partial 16S ribosomal RNA
Rfam family: Bacterial small subunit ribosomal RNA
Source: RNAcentral
UGGGGAAUUUUGGACAAUGGGCGAAAGCCUGAUCCAGCAAUGCCGCGUGUGUGAAGAAGGCCUUCGGGUUGUAAAGCACUUUUGUCCGGAAAGAAAUCCUUGGCUCUAAUACAGUCGGGGGAUGACGGUACCGGAAGAAUAAGCACCGGCUAACUACGUGCCAGCAGCCGCGGUAAUACGUAGGGUGCAAGCGUUAAUCGGAAUUACUGGGCGUAAAGCGUGCGCAGGCGGUUUGCUAAGACCGAUGUGAAAUCCCCGGGCUCAACCUGGGAACUGCAUUGGUGACUGGCAGGCUAGAGUAUGGCAGAGGGGGGUAGAAUUCCACGUGUAGCAGUGAAAUGCGUAGAGAUGUGGAGGAAUACCGAUGGCGAAGGCAGCCCCCUGGGCCAAUACUGACGCUCAUGCACGAAAGCGUGGGGGAGCAAACAGGAUUAGAUACCCUGGUAGUCCACGCCCUAAAACGAUGUCAACUAGUUGUUGGGGAUUCAUUUCCUUAGUAACGUAGCUAACGCGUGAAGUUGACCGCCUGGGGAGUACGGUCGUCAAAGAUUAAAACUCAAAUGAAUUGACGGGGUCAUAGCUGUUUCCU